RNAcentral lists this transfer RNA (72 nucleotides) under Bacteroidota bacterium. Its description in RNAcentral is "Bacteroidetes bacterium (activated sludge metagenome) tRNA-Cys". It matches the Rfam family "tRNA". Rfam says of the family: Transfer RNA (tRNA) molecules are approximately 80 nucleotides in length. Their secondary structure includes four short double-helical elements and three loops (D, anti-codon, and T loops). Lineage: Bacteria; Pseudomonadati; Bacteroidota. The record is from RNAcentral.
GGCGCCGUAGCCAAGUGGUAAGGCAGAGCUCUGCAAAAGCUCCAUUCAUCAGUUCGAAUCUGAUCGGCGCCU